GACGAACGCUGGCGGCGUGCCUAAUACAUGCAAGUAGAACGCUGAAGAGAGGAGCUUGCUCUUCUUGGAUGAGUUGCGAACGGGUGAGUAACGCGUAGGUAACCUGCCUUGUAGCGGGGGAUAACUAUUGGAAACGAUAGCUAAUACCGCAUAACAAUGGAUGACACAUGUCAUUUAUUUGAAAGGGGCAAUUGCUCCACUACAAGAUGGACCUUCGUUGUAUUAGCUAGUAGGUGAGGUAAUGGCUCACCUAGGCGACGAUACAUAGCCGACCUGAGAGGGUGAUCGGCCACACUGGGACUGAGACACGGCCCAGACUCCUACGGGAGGCAGCAGUAGGGAAUCUUCGGCAAUGGGGGCAACCCUGACCGAGCAACGCCGCGUGAGUGAAGAAGGUUUUCGGAUCGUAAAGCUCGGUUGUAAGUCAAGAACGGGUGUGAGAGUGGAAAGUUCACACUGUGACGGUAGCUUACCAGAAAGGGACGGCUAACUACGUG
Molecule: ribosomal RNA, 497 nt
Filed under: uncultured bacterium
Lineage: Bacteria
Description: partial 16S ribosomal RNA
Rfam family: Bacterial small subunit ribosomal RNA
Source: RNAcentral